Molecule: long non-coding RNA, 518 nt
Organism: Sinocyclocheilus anshuiensis
Lineage: Eukaryota; Metazoa; Chordata; Actinopteri; Cypriniformes; Cyprinidae
Exons: 3
Source: RefSeq, a predicted model, not a curated record
UAGAAACGUGUAUGUUAUUUCAAGAUCUGAUGAAACAAGUAAAGCAAGGUCUGCUGGUGAGAUGUUUUCUCUCCUGUUGUGUCUCUUGGGUUUAAUCAAUGGAGAGCUGUGUGGGUGACUAUGAGAGGCCCUUUGGUUCUUUGAAAAUACCGCGGGGGCGGGAGCGGGGGCUGCGUGGAGGCGUUGGGGGCUACUGAUGAAGAUAAAGCUGUCUGGCUGUGUCACAAGGGGCUGUUCCACCACAUUCUGACUGAGGGAGGAGAUGGAGAGCGAAUGAAAAAGUGAGAAAGAGUGCCUAAUCCAUCACAGGAAGGGAGGACUGACACAACAAAAGACAGAGUGCGGAGCAAGGCUUUUUGGCGGCUAGGGCCGAGGCAACUUCGACAAUAUUUUUUGGCGCCUGUCAGGCUGUCUAAUAAAGCAGAGCUGGAAUAUGAACUAUCUCUCACUGCUGUAAUACGCCUCAUAAAUCAGAUUUAAUUACGCAGUGUGGGGACAGGCAGUGGGAGCCCUGGCUG